AAAACGACUCUCGGCAACGGAUAUCUCGGCUCUCGCAUCGAUGAAGAACGCAGCGAAAUGCGAUACUUGGUGUGAAUUGCAGGAUCCCGCGAACCAUCGAGUUUUUGAACGCAAGUUGCGCCCGAAGCCUUUUGGCCGAGGGCACGUCUGCCUGGGUGUCACUC
RNAcentral lists this ribosomal RNA (164 nucleotides) under Euphorbia dendroides. Its description in RNAcentral is "5.8S ribosomal RNA". It matches the Rfam family "5.8S ribosomal RNA". Rfam says of the family: 5.8S ribosomal RNA (5.8S rRNA) is a component of the large subunit of the eukaryotic ribosome. It is transcribed by RNA polymerase I as part of the 45S precursor that also contains 18S and 28S rRNA. RNAcentral also lists the same sequence under 11 other names. The record is from RNAcentral. Lineage: Eukaryota; Viridiplantae; Streptophyta; Magnoliopsida; Malpighiales; Euphorbiaceae.